CACCUCCCCCGAUGCCGCCUCAGAGCUCGGCUUCCUCAGAGACCGCCAGGUGCCCGGGCCUGUCUCGCCACCGCCCCCCCGGACGCCGCUGAGCGAAGCCCCCCGCUUGCCUCACAGCAGGAAAGAAUCAGGACAGGGGUCCGGGGGAACGCGAGCGGGAGGAGGAGGAGGCUGAGGAGCCUAGGGAUCCGGGACGCCCGGCCCGGCUGCGAAGGAGUGCCCCUGCCAGGAGUGUGCCCCGCUCCCUCCAGCGGGCGCAUUUGCGGGUAAGGACCGCUGCGGAGGGCCGGAGGAGAGGAGAAAUAAGAAGCGGAGCCGGCAGCCCUCGAGUCGGGGCAGGGAGCGGAGCCCGAGGGCAGAGGGAAUGGAGGGCUUGCCCGGAGCGGGGCAGGUCGGGGAGAUCCAGGGAGAAGUGCUGCGGAGCCCAGGGGCGUAAAGGGAAGCGGGCGAGAGGAACCGGAAAGCAGCCAGGCUAACGUUUUAGGGAGUCGGGCCGCGGGAUCUGAACACGAUGUGCACAGAUGCGUCAAACAUUAACAGGCAGAUUGGGUUUCCUCCAGACAAAUCGAGUCAAAUCUCCUUCAUGAGGCCAUCUUGGUGCUGUGGGAAAAAAUUGGGACCUGGGAUCAGGAGAGCAAGCUUUCUAUCUGCUAGCUGACCUUAGACCAUCCCAGAGCACUAUGAUCUGUUCCUACUCCCUUCUGCUAGGAUUCUCACCAUAUAUCAAGUCUUUUUCCUCUCCUCCUUUGAAACAUCUAUGAUUUCGAAGGUGUCUGAAAGGUGAGGAAACCGGUCCAGAGAGGAGAAAUACUGCCCGAGAUCGCACCAGGAGUAAUGGAGCAGAAUUCCGCCGUUGCGCCCCGUGAGUUCCAUGGUCUCCCCUGCUUUUCACAAGCUGUCCCCAGAGUGUUUAGACUUGGCCCCUGCUGACACUCGUCUGUCAUCCAGUAUCUUUAUAUAAUCUUCCUUUGAUGCGGCGAUCUGAGUAGGCAGACCAGCCUGACGAGAGCGAAAGGUUCGUGCACUAACAGUAACCUGGAGUCGCACUGAGUUUGAAGGACUACAAAGGAUUUCUCUCACGAUGGCUGGAACGGUCGUGUCAGACUCUUACGGACCCAGGAAGGACUAAGUCCAAACUCGACAAGUGGGAACAGGAAGAUAGGAAAAAGGAAAAAUAAAUGAAUGAAUGAAUCCAAAAACACCCAAUUAAUAAAGAAUGAACAGAACUUGGCUUCUGAGAGUUGGUAUAUUAGAAAGAAAAGCGUGUGUUUCCUUCCUACUUUGCAGAGGACAGAAGGAUAAAAUUUAUGGGAGAGCACUUUGUCAAUCUAUAAAAGUACCUUGUGCAAAUGAUCAAUUAUCAUUUAAGAUUUGAGGUACAAAAAGGAUAAAUCAAAAGUUGUUCUGAAACUUAGUUUGGUGGAGUUUGAGUACCAUCAACUAACAGGGAAUUUAAGAGAGAAAGCCAAUUUGGAAAAAAAGCUGAGGAAACUUAGACCAAAUACAUUUAUUAAAAGUGUUAGAAAAAUAAUUUCGUUUCAAAGCUAUCAUUUUACAGAUGGAGUUAAGAUUUAAGUUAGAUCCACAGGAGGAAACAGUGGUGAAAAUGACUUGCCCAUGGUAGUAGCAAGAAGUAUGACUAAGACCCAGUGUUGGGAAUCAAUGCUUCUCCUGCUAUGGAAUAAAACCUUUUACUUAAGUCACACAUUUCAAUGUUUCUUUUUGUUUUGAAAGGGAAAAAUUCCACAUUUCUUCUCUAUAACCAAAAUUAUUUAAACAUGUGCUUGUUUUCUUAACAUUAGCAUAAGCUAAAGAAUAUACUUAGAGCCACAGAUGAGAUCUCUGAGGGGAGUGAGCUAAAUGAGAAGAAAUGACAUCUGAAGAUUGAAUUUAGGGGAAUCCCAUCCUUUUGGAGGUGGAAGAAAAGAGCUAAGUACUGAAGAAUUCAGGUUCAACACGUGCUGAAAUACUCAUAGCCAACACUCUUUUAUGGCUA
Sarcophilus harrisii (Tasmanian devil) is the source of this 1996-nucleotide long non-coding RNA. RefSeq lists it as uncharacterized. The record is from RefSeq and is a predicted model, not a curated record. The transcript is spliced from 6 exons. Lineage: Eukaryota; Metazoa; Chordata; Mammalia; Dasyuromorphia; Dasyuridae.